GACGAACGCUGGCGGCGUGCCUAAUACAUGCGAGUAGAACGCUGAAGGAGGAGCUUGCUUCUCCGGAUGAGUUGCGAACGGGUGAGUAACGCGUAGGUAACCUGCCUGGUAGCGGGGGAUAACUAUUGGAAACGAUAGCUAAUACCGCAUAAGAGUAGAUGUCGCAUGACAUUUGCUUAAAAGGUGCAACUGCACCACUACCAGAUGGACCUGCGUUGUAUUAGCUAGUUGGUGAGGUAACGGCUCACCAAGGCAACGAUACAUAGCCGACCUGAGAGGGGGAUCGGCCACACUGGGACGGAGACACGGCCCAGACGCCUACGGGAGGCAGCAGUAGGGAAUCUUCGGCAAUGGACGGAAGUCUGACCGAGCAACGCCGCGUGAGUGAAGAAGGUUUUCGGAUCGUAAAGCUCUGUUGUAAGAGAAGAACGAGUGUGAGAGUGGAAAGUUCACACUGUGACGGUAUCUUACCAGAAAGGGACGGCUAACUACGUG
Molecule: ribosomal RNA, 495 nt
Filed under: uncultured bacterium
Lineage: Bacteria
Description: partial 16S ribosomal RNA
Rfam family: Bacterial small subunit ribosomal RNA
Source: RNAcentral